UACGUAGGGACCAAGCGUUGUUCGGAUUUACUGGGCGUAAAGGGCGCGUAGGCGGCGUGACAAGUCACUUGUGAAAUCUCUGAGCUUAACUCAGAACGGCCAAGUGAAACUGUUGUGCUAGAGUGCAGAAGGGGCAACUGGAAUUCUCGGUGUAGCGGUGAAAUGCGUAGAUAUCGAGAGGAACACCUGCGGCGAAGGCGGGUUGCUGGGCUGACACUGACGCUGAAGCGCGAAAGCUAGGGGAGCGAACGGG
RNAcentral lists this ribosomal RNA (253 nucleotides) under uncultured bacterium. RNAcentral's name for it is "partial 16S ribosomal RNA". It matches the Rfam family "Bacterial small subunit ribosomal RNA", at positions 524 to 776 of the family's 1533-position model. The record is from RNAcentral.